Small nuclear RNA from Camelus dromedarius (Arabian camel), 107 nucleotides. The record is from Ensembl. Lineage: Eukaryota; Metazoa; Chordata; Mammalia; Artiodactyla; Camelidae.
GCGCUCGCUUCGGCAGCACAGAUACUAAAACUGGAAUGAUACAGGGAAGACCAGCAUGGCCCCUGUGCAAGCAGGACGUGCACAUUCGUGAAGCGUUCCGUAUUUUU